Molecule: long non-coding RNA, 334 nt
Filed under: Penaeus japonicus
Lineage: Eukaryota; Metazoa; Arthropoda; Malacostraca; Decapoda; Penaeidae
Description: uncharacterized LOC122242926
Source: RNAcentral
AACUUAAUGAGACUUCAUCUAAUAAGCGAGUGCUUCUUAGUCAGUUCUGAGCCACAGUGUAGGAAGAUACCAAGAAACAAGAAUAUUGUUUUGGGCCAACGCUACGAUGCUGAGAUCUCUGAUCAUAAUCUCUUUGCUUGGCGCUAUUGCAACUUCCCCUGAGCCACAAGACAAGGAAUACAACUCAAAGGCCGUUCUCAGAUAUGUGUUGAAAUACGCACUGGGUGGAAUUAGCUCUGAGAGUGACAGCGUGACGAGAUCAGAGUCAUGUGACAAGCCAGAGGCACCUUCCUGUGAUGAUUAUUUUGAAAGCGCAGCCCCAACUUGUUUUGGA